Long non-coding RNA from Oncorhynchus gorbuscha (pink salmon), 897 nucleotides. RefSeq lists it as uncharacterized. The transcript is spliced from 3 exons. The record is from RefSeq and is a predicted model, not a curated record. NCBI's taxonomy places the organism in Eukaryota, Metazoa, Chordata, Actinopteri, Salmoniformes, Salmonidae.
UGGUAAUCUAUCUCUGUCAGGUGAUUGGUUUAUAGGAACAGCACACUAGUAUCUAAUGUUGGGUCUAGGAUUGGGUCUUAGUGGUAAUCUAUCUCUGUCAGGUGAUUGGUUUAUAGGAACAGCACACUAGUAUCUAAUGUUGGGUCUAGGAUUGGGUCUUAGUGGUAAUCUAUCUCUGUCAGGUGAUUGGUUUAUAGGAACAGCACACUAGUAUCUAAUGUUGGGUCUAGGAUUGGGUCUUAGUGGUAAUCUAUCUCUGUCAGGUGAUUGGUUUAUAGGAACAGCACACUAGUAUCUAAUGUUGGGUCUAGGAUUGGGUCUUAGUGGUAAUCUAUCUCUGUCAGGUGAUUGGUUUAUAGGAACAGCACACUAGUAUCUAAUGUUGGGUCUAGGAUUGGGUCUUAGUGGUAAUCUAUCUCUGUCAGGUGAUUGGUUUAUAGGAACAGCACACUAGUAUCUAAUGUUGGGUCUAGGAUUGGGUCUUAGUGGUAAUCUAUCUCUGUCAGGUGAUUGGUUUAUAGGAACAGCACACUAGUAUCUAAUGUUGGGUCUAGGAUUGGGUCUUAGUGGUAAUCUAUCUCUGUCAGGUGAUUGGUUUAUAGGAACAGCACACUAGUAUCUAAUGUUGGGUCUAGGAUUGGGUCUUAGUGGUAAUCUAUCUCUGUCAGGUGAUUGGUUUAUAGGAACAGCACACUAGUAUCUAAUGUUGGGUCUAGGAUUGGGUCUUAGUGGUAAUCUAUCUCUGUCAGGUGAUUGGUUUAUAGGAACAGCACACUAGUAUCUAAUGUUGGGUCUAGGAUUGGGUCUUAGUGGUAAUCUAUCUCUGUCAGGUGAUUGGUUUAUAGGAACAGCACACUAGUAUCUAAUGUUGGGUCUAGGAUUGGGUCUUAGUGGUAA